Long non-coding RNA from Spinacia oleracea (spinach), 1118 nucleotides. RefSeq lists it as uncharacterized. Lineage: Eukaryota; Viridiplantae; Streptophyta; Magnoliopsida; Caryophyllales; Amaranthaceae. The transcript is spliced from 3 exons. The record is from RefSeq and is a predicted model, not a curated record.
UCGUACUGAUUAGUUGAGCCACAAAGUUUUUAUUUAGAUUUUAAAAUUCUCACACAACUUUAAAGUAAAUAUUUGGCCCAUCAGCACUCUGAUUUAUUUCGUACAAAUCAACUAACAACACGCAGCCCAUAUGAUCAAGCCGGCCCAUUUCAUUUCGUUUAAAACUAACAUGUUUCUUCUUACCCUAUCUCCUUUUUGUUCUCUCCGCCGCUUCCUCUCUCUCUUAAACCUAUUUGAUUUUGUUCUGCUUUCUCUUUCCUAAUUCGUUGCUUACCUUCCUUUUCUCUCUUCAAAAAAUGGUUCCAAAUACAAAAUCAUUCCAUCUAGUUGAAUAUCUCAGCAAAAAAAGGGCGAGGAACUCCAGAAAUGUAAGAUUUGUUCGAAAAAUGGUGUACGCCGACGAUUACACAGGUAUGUUUUAUCAAUUCAAGGUUUUGGGUUUAUAAUCUGGAUUUUUUUUCAUGCCGAAAAUCGAUUUGUUGCUUAGUUGUAGUUGUAUUUCGUUUUCUUAAUUAUUGGUUAACUAAUGUAUUUGAAUUUUUAUUUGCAUGUCGUGUCCCUCCAUGAAUUGGAGAGAGCGGUGCAGGAGCGGUGGCGAGGCGCGCGAGGCGCUAGUCAAGGCGCUGGUCUAGGCUCUGUCCGAGGCGAUGGGAAAGGCAAUAGGCUCAAAAUUUAUGGUUUACCUGUCGCCUUGUUUAUGUUCCAGAGCCUGGGAAUCGGGAGAAGAUAUUACUUACGUGUAUCGGCGCGACUUGAAGAACAAUGAUGGAGUUUUUGGAACUCGUAUACUGAAUUACUGAUUUUCUGCAGAUUUUUUGUUUUAAUUUUCUUGGUCAAUUUGAUUUAAUUUGGCAAUUGUAAUAAUUUGUAAUAAGAUUUUCACAGCUGGGUCUUUGUGUGAUGUUCUUGGCUGGGUUUUGUGUGAUGUUCUUGGCUGGGUUUAUGCGUUAUUUUUUUAGCUGUGGGUAUAUGUGUUUUCUUGGCUGUGGGUUUAUGCGUGAUUUUCUUGGCUAUGGGUUUUAGCAAUUUUUCGUGGCUGGAUUUUUGGGUGAUACUUCCUUAUUUGCUUUUUAUUUUGACUUUAUUGACAGACUUUUCUAUAUUGGGAAUGAUUUCAG